CCAGCUGACUGGUGCAAUCCCAACCUCAAUUGGAAGAAAUCUUGAACUGUUGGAUCUUUCAAGAAAUAAUUUGACAGGAAGCAUUCCUUCAAGCAUAGGAAAUUGUGUUGCACUCGAAGUUCUAGACCUUCGAAACAACAAUUUGUCUGGAGGGAUUCCAAGAGCCAUGGGUGAGUUGCGUGGGCUUUCAACACUUCACUUGGGCAAGAACAGACUAUCAGGAGAAAUCCCAUCAUCUUUUCAGCAUUUUCCAUAUUUGGAAACUUUAGACUUUGCAAACAACAUGUUGAC
RNAcentral lists this unclassified non-coding RNA (291 nucleotides) under Hevea brasiliensis (rubber tree). Lineage: Eukaryota; Viridiplantae; Streptophyta; Magnoliopsida; Malpighiales; Euphorbiaceae. The record is from RNAcentral.